GGGACCACUGAUCUGGAGGCCGUCUUCUGGGAAAUGAGGGGAUGUCACGCACCCCACAAAGUCUCCGCACCUGUGCUCUUUGCCAGGUUUUGUGGAUGGCUGUUGUCUUGCAGGCGUUGGCUGUAGCAAUGUCAUUCUCCUCCUUACUCUGCUUUGUCUGAGGAUGUGACAUUGCGUGGAAUUAUCCUGCGAUCCUUUUCUGUGGCUCGCUUUCACCGGAGAGGGGCUUCUGGUCUGCGUCAUUUCCAAAGCUUCUUUGAAGACAAA
Non-coding RNA from Kogia breviceps (pygmy sperm whale), 267 nucleotides. NCBI's taxonomy places the organism in Eukaryota, Metazoa, Chordata, Mammalia, Artiodactyla, Physeteridae. The record is from RefSeq and is a predicted model, not a curated record.